RNAcentral lists this ribosomal RNA (468 nucleotides) under uncultured bacterium. Its description in RNAcentral is "partial 16S ribosomal RNA". It matches the Rfam family "Bacterial small subunit ribosomal RNA", at positions 28 to 507 of the family's 1533-position model. The record is from RNAcentral.
GACGAACGCUGGCGGCGUGCUUAACACAUGCAAGUCGAACGGAAAGGCCCUGCUUUUGUGGGGUGCUCGAGUGGCGAACGGGUGAGUAACACGUGAGUAACCUGCCCUUGACUUUGGGAUAACUUCAGGAAACUGGGGCUAAUACCGGAUAGGAGCUCCUGCUGCAUGGUGGGGGUUGGAAAGUUUCGGCGGUUGGGGAUGGACUCGCGGCUUAUCAGCUUGUUGGUGGGGUAGUGGCUUACCAAGGCUUUGACGGGUAGCCGGCCUGAGAGGGUGACCGGCCACAUUGGGACUGAGAUACAGCCCAGACUCCUACGGGAGGAAGCAGUGGGGAAUAUUGCACAAUGGGCGGAAGCCUGAUGCAGCAACGCCGCGUGCGGGAUGACGGCCUUCGGGUUGUAAACCGCUUUCGCCUGUGACGAAGCGUGAGUGACGGUAAUGGGUAAAGAAGCACCGGCUAACUACGUG